GAGGGUGCAGCUCAGUGGUAGAGUGUGUGUUUAACAUGCACAAGAUCCUGGGUUCAAUUCCAAAUAACUCCA
Molecule: transfer RNA, 72 nt
Filed under: Camelus bactrianus (Bactrian camel)
Lineage: Eukaryota; Metazoa; Chordata; Mammalia; Artiodactyla; Camelidae
Also listed under: 2 other names
Rfam family: tRNA
About the family: Transfer RNA (tRNA) molecules are approximately 80 nucleotides in length. Their secondary structure includes four short double-helical elements and three loops (D, anti-codon, and T loops). Further hydrogen bonds mediate the characteristic L-shaped molecular structure. tRNAs have two regions of fundamental functional importance: the anti-codon, which is responsible for specific mRNA codon recognition, and the 3' end, to which the tRNAs corresponding amino acid is attached (by aminoacyl-tRNA synthetases). tRNAs cope with the degeneracy of the genetic code in two manners: having more than one tRNA (with a specific anti-codon) for a particular amino acid; and 'wobble' base-pairing, i.e. permitting non-standard base-pairing at the 3rd anti-codon position.
Source: Rfam by way of RNAcentral